Molecule: non-coding RNA, 549 nt
Organism: Amborella trichopoda
Lineage: Eukaryota; Viridiplantae; Streptophyta; Magnoliopsida; Amborellales; Amborellaceae
Source: RefSeq, a predicted model, not a curated record
AUGGCUCCAAAAGAGUUGAAGGAGUUGAAAGAGCAGUUACAAGAAUUGUUGAAUAAGGGGUUCAUCCAACCCAGCGUGUCCCCUUGGGGUGCACCAGUCCUGUUUGUGAAGAAGAAGGAUGGGUCCCUGAGGCUGUGUAUUGACUAUAGGCACUUGAACCAAGUGAUGAUCCGGUUUAUAUUGCUCCAGAACAGGCAAGGGAAGACGCGUCUUGCAAAAUACUAUGUUCCGCUUGAGGAACUGAGAAGCACAAAGUUGAAUACGAGGUUCACCGAUUGGUCGUAAAUAGGGACCCGAAAUUCACAAAUUUUGUUGAGGAAUCGUUUCAUUUCAUUGUAAUUAGAGGCGACGGUGGUGGGUCUUUGAGUGUAAUUGUCAAUUUUGGCACCUCUAAGGGAAGAAUUUAGUUGGUUGUUUGCAUCAAGCAAUGGAAAGACAUAGUCUAUAUAGGCGUGUCUCAGCCUUGCUGUAUUGUCGAAGAAGUUUUCGAGUUGACGUCCCCAGAGUUGUCUUCUCUCUCCGUUGCACAAUGAAGCCUAGACGCUCUUC